UCGGGUACGUGGUGUCGCAACGCACCAAACGCCUGCUGACGCAGGCGCCCUUGCGGGGCUGGGCCCGUGGUCUCUCGUCAAGCCAUUGGUCGAGCGCGCGCCAGCCUAGUAAUCGUCACUUCCUCCGCAACAGGAAGUGGGUCGGCUGCGAGCGCCGUCUCUCCGCGACUACCCUGAACUACGGGAACCUCAGCUCCAAUGGGAAGACUAGAGACGCGGCAGGCAUCUAGUAAAGGAGGCAUUGAUGUAACACUGUUUUCUAAAGUUAACAAGUGAUUAGCCGCCUAUCUGCAACAUGAAGCUACCGACAAUCUCAACUUCUGAGAAGCUGUCCUGAACGGUUUGCGAUGGUGCUGCUGUAACCGCAACAGACAUAACCUGGACGCCCUGGACAGCAAAGCCUUUUGUGUGCCUUUCAAUUGCGGUUUGCGUAUCACCGUACACUGGGGUGUGCACAAUGGUGAUUUCUAUAUGGCCGUGCGCCGUGUCUCUUACGGCGACUUUUCAAGCGUUUCUUCUUCUGACCAAAAGCAUCUUUGGUACAACAAUUUAUUUGCCAUAAAUAACGAUAAAUAACCACAUUUUCUUGAUCUCUUGCUGUAUAACAUGUUUGAGUGUAUACUGUUGGUGCAAGUAAAGCGUAUUUGACACAAAAUGUGGCUUGAAAUAACUUUUUGCUGUAUUCGUGAGUUUUUGGUUACUUCCUACUACUGAAAACUGCAAUAAAAGAUGUUACCCACUUGGGCAUGGUUAUCGAAAAAGA
Long non-coding RNA from Dermacentor andersoni, 763 nucleotides. RefSeq lists it as uncharacterized. NCBI's taxonomy places the organism in Eukaryota, Metazoa, Arthropoda, Arachnida, Ixodida, Ixodidae. The record is from RefSeq and is a predicted model, not a curated record.